This 76-nucleotide transfer RNA is filed under the name Deltaproteobacteria bacterium. RNAcentral's name for it is "tRNA-Lys". It matches the Rfam family "tRNA". From Rfam's summary of the family: Transfer RNA (tRNA) molecules are approximately 80 nucleotides in length. Their secondary structure includes four short double-helical elements and three loops (D, anti-codon, and T loops). RNAcentral also lists the same sequence under 5 other names. The record is from RNAcentral. Lineage: Bacteria; Pseudomonadati; Myxococcota; Myxococcia.
GAGCCCAUAGCUCAGUUGGCAGAGCAUCUGACUUUUAAUCAGAGGGCCGCUGGUUCGAUCCCAGCUGGGCUCACCA